GUCGGGCGUGGUGUUGCACACCUGUAAUCCCAGCUACUCAGGAGGCUGAGGCAGGAGGUUCAAGAGUUCUAGGCCAGCCUGGUUGACUUAGUAAAACCUGUCUCAA
This 106-nucleotide small RNA is filed under the name Marmota monax (woodchuck). Lineage: Eukaryota; Metazoa; Chordata; Mammalia; Rodentia; Sciuridae. The record is from RNAcentral.